AUUGAACGCUGGCGGCAGGCCUAACACAUGCAAGUCGAACGGUAACAGGAAACAGCUUGCUGUUUCGCUGACGAGUGGCGGACGGGUGAGUAAUGUCUGGGAAACUGCCUGAUGGAGGGGGAUAACUACUGGAAACGGUAGCUAAUACCGCAUAACGUCGCAAGACCAAAGAGGGGGACCUUCGGGCCUCUUGCCAUCGGAUGUGCCCAGAUGGGAUUAGCUAGUAGGUGGGGUAACGGCUCGCCUAGGCGACGAUCCCUAGCUGGUCUGAGAGGAUGACCAGCCACACUGGAACUGAGACACGGUCCAGACUCCUACGGGAGGCAGCAGUGGGGAACAUUGCACAAUGGGCGCAAGCCUGAUGCAGCCAUGCCGCGUGUAUGAAGAAGGCCUUCGGGUUGUAAAGUACUUUCAGCGGGGAGGAAGGGAGUAAAGUUAAUACCUUUACUCAUUGACGUUACCCGCAGAAGAAGCACCGGCUAACUCCGUG
RNAcentral lists this ribosomal RNA (490 nucleotides) under uncultured bacterium. RNAcentral describes it as "partial 16S ribosomal RNA". It matches the Rfam family "Bacterial small subunit ribosomal RNA", at positions 30 to 507 of the family's 1533-position model. The record is from RNAcentral.